Molecule: ribosomal RNA, 430 nt
Filed under: uncultured deep-sea archaeon
Lineage: Archaea
Description: bacterial SSU rRNA
Rfam family: Archaeal small subunit ribosomal RNA
Source: RNAcentral
AGUGUUCAAUAGAACUGUGGUAGGUGAGUAAUGUCCCCUACUAGAAAGGAGAGGGCAAGGCUGGUGCCAGCCGCCGCGGUAAAACCAGCUCUUCAAGUGGUCGGGAUAAUUAUUGGGCUUAAAGUGUCCGUAGCCGGUUUAGUAAGUUCCUGGUAAAAUCGGGUAGCUUAACUAUCUGCAUGCUAGGAAUACUGCUAUACUAGAGGGCGGGAGAGGUCUGAGGUACUACAGGGGUAGGGGUGAAAUCUUAUAAUCCUUGUAGGACCACCAGUGGCGAAGGCGUCAGACUGGAACGCGCCUGACGGUGAGGGACGAAAGCCAGGGGAGCGAACCGGAUUAGAUACCCGGGUAGUCCUGGCCGUAAACGACGCAUACUAGGUGAUGGUACGGCCAUGAGCCGUAUCAGUGCCGUAGGGAAACCGUUAAGUGU